This 756-nucleotide small RNA is filed under the name Pan troglodytes (chimpanzee). Its description in RNAcentral is "processed transcript". The record is from RNAcentral. Lineage: Eukaryota; Metazoa; Chordata; Mammalia; Primates; Hominidae.
GGUAGAUCCUAAUGGCUGUGGGAUGGUACAAACUCCCUAAACCUCUGCCUGGCACUGGAGUGAAUCCUGCUGAGCUGUUUCUCAUUUUGUAUUUAAAACAGUUAAAUGACUUCUUCACCUAAACUCUUAAAUAGGGCAGCUAAGAUUUGUACUUAGGAAAGGAAUAGCAUGGAAGAUUGGAGCUCAUGUAGAAUGUAUCUGGAAGCUUAAAUUAAUGAGGACUGUGAAGAUCCUAAUCCUUUGAUUCGAGCCUUGGCAGUCAGAACCAUGGGGUGCAUCCGGGUAGACAAAAUUACAGAAUAUCUCUGUGAGCCGCUCCGCAAGUGCUUGAAGGAUGAGGAUCCCUAUGUUCGGAAAACAGCAGCAGUCUGCGUGGCAAAACUCCAUGAUAUCAAUGCCCAAAUGGUGGAAGAUCAGGGAUUUCUGGAUUCUCUACGGGAUCUCAUAGCAGAUUCAAAUCCAAUGGUGGUGGCUAAUGCCGUAGCGGCAUUAUCUGAAAUCAGUGAGUCUCACCCAAACAGCAACUUACUUGAUCUGAACCCACAGAACAUUAAUAAGCUGCUGACAGCCCUGAAUGAAUGCACUGAAUGGGGCCAGAUUUUCAUCCUGGACUGCCUGUCUAAUUACAACCCUAAAGAUGAUCGGGAGGCUCAGAGCAUCUGUGAGCGGGUAACUCCCCGGCUAUCCCAUGCCAACUCAGCAGUGGUGCUUUCAGCGGUAAAAGUCCUAAUGAAGUUUCUAGAAUUGUUACCUAAG